This 308-nucleotide long non-coding RNA is filed under the name Bos taurus (domestic cattle). RNAcentral's name for it is "long non-coding RNA NONBTAT005707". The record is from RNAcentral. Lineage: Eukaryota; Metazoa; Chordata; Mammalia; Artiodactyla; Bovidae.
AAAAAAAAAAAAACCAAAUUACACGCAACUCGACAAAAAUGCAAAUAGGUCUGAACUUUUUAAAUAGGGAAAUCUUAGGUAAGGAAAGGAUUUGAAAAUGUUAAAAAUCUAGGUGACCUGAGAUUUGCAUAUGUUUUACGAGGAUAUGAAUACACUGAUUAGAGAUCCUGAGCAACAACAAAUGGUUUUCAACUUUUUCACUGUUGUUUUUAUGUCCUCAAACCCAAGAGGGCAUAUUAGGGUGAACAAAAAGUAGUUCUUAUUUAUCCUCGUCAGAAAAAAAAAGUAACAAAGAACACCCUGUUGGU